Molecule: ribosomal RNA, 253 nt
Filed under: uncultured bacterium
Lineage: Bacteria
Description: partial 16S ribosomal RNA
Rfam family: Bacterial small subunit ribosomal RNA
Source: RNAcentral
UACAGAGGUGGCAAGCGUUGUUCGGAAUUACUGGGCGUAAAGGGCGCGUAGGCGGCCUCUUUAGUCAGACGUGAAAUCCCCCGGCUUAACCUGGGAACUGCGUCUGAUACUGGGAGGCUAGAGUUCGGGAGAGGGAUGUAGAAUUCCAGGUGUAGCGGUGAAAUGCGUAGAUAUCUGGAGGAACACCGGUGGCGAAGGCGGGUCUCUGGGCCGAUACUGACGCUGAGGAGCGAAAGCGUGGGGAGCGAACAGG